This 492-nucleotide ribosomal RNA is filed under the name uncultured bacterium. Its description in RNAcentral is "partial 16S ribosomal RNA". It matches the Rfam family "Bacterial small subunit ribosomal RNA", at positions 29 to 507 of the family's 1533-position model. The record is from RNAcentral.
AGUGAACACUGGCGGUAGGCCUAACACAUGCAAGUCGAACGGCAGCACAGUAAGAGCUUGCUCUUACGGGUGGCGAGUGGCGGACGGGUGAGGAAUACAUCGGAAUCUACUUUUUCGUGGGGGAUAACGUAGGGAAACUUACGCUAAUACCGCAUACGACCUACGGGUGAAAGCAGGGGAUCUUCGGACCCUGCGCGAUUGAAUGAGCCGAUGUCGGAUUAGCUAGUUGGCGGGGUAAAGGCCCACCAAGGCGACGAUCCGUAGCUGGUCUGAGAGGAUGAUCAGCCACACUGGAACUGAGACACGGUCCAGACUCCUACGGGAGGCAGCAGUGGGGAAUAUUGGACAAUGGGCGCAAGCCUGAUCCAGCCAUACCGCGUGGGUGAAGAAGGCCUUCGGGUUGUAAAGCCCUUUUGUUGGGAAAGAAAAGCAGCAGGUUAAUACCCCGCUGUUCUGACGGUACCCAAAGAAUAAGCACCGGCUAACUUCGUG